UGGUUCUGGCAUCGAUGAAGAACGCAGCGAAAUGCGAUAAGUAAUGUGAAUUGCAGAAUUCCGUGAAUCAUCGAAUCUUUGAACGCACAUUGCGCCCUUUGGUAUUCCGAAGGGCAUGUCUGUUCGAGCGUCAUUUGCACUCUCAAGCUCAGCUUGGUAUUGGAGGUCGCCCCGGCGGGGUGCCCCCGAAACGCAGCGGCGACGUAGCCGGACUCCCUGGCGUAGUGACAUUACUGUCGCCCCGGAGGCCCGGUCGUGCGUUGGCCGGACAACGCCCAAUUUUCUGAAAUCGACCUCGGAUCAGACAGGACUACCCGCUGA
Molecule: unclassified non-coding RNA, 321 nt
Filed under: uncultured fungus
Lineage: Eukaryota; Fungi
Description: partial contains 5.8S ribosomal RNA and internal transcribed spacer 2
Rfam family: 5.8S ribosomal RNA (bases 1-133)
Source: RNAcentral